Molecule: ribosomal RNA, 292 nt
Filed under: uncultured bacterium
Lineage: Bacteria
Description: partial 16S ribosomal RNA
Rfam family: Bacterial small subunit ribosomal RNA
Source: RNAcentral
GUGCCAGCCGCCGCGGUAAUACAGAGGGAGCGAGCGUUGUUCGGAAUUACUGGGCGUAAAGGGCGCGUAGGCGGUUCGAUAAGUCCCGUGUGAAAUCCCUCGGCUCAACUGAGGAAUGGCACGGGAAACUGACGGGCUUGAGUUCGGGAGAGGGAAGCGGAAUUCCGGGUGUAGCGGUGAAAUGCGUAGAUAUCCGGAGGAACACCGGUGGCGAAGGCGGCUUCCUGGACCGACACUGACGCUGAGGCGCGAAAGCUAGGGGAGCAAACGGGAUUAGAUACCCCUGUAGUCC